UACGUAGGGGGCUAGCGUUGUCCGGAUUUAUUGGGCGUAAAGAGCGUGUAGGCGGCCAGGUAGGUCUGCUGUGAAAACUCGAGGCUCAACCUCGAGACGUCGGCGGAAACCAUCUGGCUAGAGUCCGGAAGAGGAGAGUGGAAUUCCUGGUGUAGCGGUGAAAUGCGCAGAUAUCAGGAAGAACACCCGUGGCGAAGGCGGCUCGCUGGGACGGAACUGACGCUAAGGCGCGAAAGCGUGGGGAGCGAACAGG
This 253-nucleotide ribosomal RNA is filed under the name uncultured bacterium. RNAcentral describes it as "partial 16S ribosomal RNA". It matches the Rfam family "Bacterial small subunit ribosomal RNA", at positions 524 to 776 of the family's 1533-position model. The record is from RNAcentral.